This 857-nucleotide ribosomal RNA is filed under the name Calcarisporium andense. RNAcentral's name for it is "Neobaryopsis andensis partial large subunit ribosomal RNA". It matches the Rfam family "Eukaryotic large subunit ribosomal RNA", at positions 23 to 912 of the family's 3401-position model. Lineage: Eukaryota; Fungi; Ascomycota; Sordariomycetes; Hypocreales; Calcarisporiaceae. The record is from RNAcentral.
ACCCGCUGAACUUAAGCAUAUCAAUAAGCGGAGGAAAAGAAACCAACAGGGAUUGCCCCAGUAACGGCGAGUGAAGCGGCAACAGCUCAAAUUUGAAAUCUGGCCCCCAGGGUCCGAGUUGUAAUUUGGAGAGGAUGCUUUUGGUGCGGUGCCUUCCGAGUUCCCUGGAACGGGACGCCAUAGAGGGUGAGAGCCCCGUCUGGUCGGAUGCCAAACCUCUGUAAAGCUCCUUCGACGAGUCGAGUAGUUUGGGAAUGCUGCUCAAAAUGGGAGGUAUAUGUCUUCUAAAGCUAAAUAUUGGCCAGAGACCGAUAGCGCACAAGUAGAGUGAUCGAAAGAUGAAAAGCACUUUGAAAAGAGGGUUAAAUAGUACGUGAAAUUGUUGAAAGGGAAGCACUCAUGACCAGACUUGGGCCCGGUGAAUCAUCCAGCGUUCUCGCUGGUGCACUUUGCCGGCCCAGGCCAGCAUCAGUUCGUCGCGGGGGAAAAAGGCUUCGGGAACGUGGCUCCCUCGGGAGUGUUAUAGACCGUUGCACAAUACCCUGCCUCGGACUGAGGUUCGCGCUCCGCAAGGAUGCUGGCGUAAUGGUCAUCAGUGACCCGUCUUGAAACACGGACCAAGGAGUCGUCCUCGUAUGCGAGUGUUCGGGUGUCAAACCCCUACGCGUAAUGAAAGUGAACGUAGGUGAGAGCUUCGGCGCAUCACCGACCGAUCCUGAUGUUCUCGGAUGGAUUUGAGUAAGAGCAUACGGGGCCGGACCCGAAAGAAGGUGAACUAUGCCUGUAUAGGGUGAAGCCAGAGGAAACUCUGGUGGAGGCUCGCAGCGGUUCUGACGUGCAAAUCGAUCGUCAAAUAU